This 250-nucleotide ribosomal RNA is filed under the name uncultured bacterium. RNAcentral describes it as "partial 16S ribosomal RNA". It matches the Rfam family "Bacterial small subunit ribosomal RNA", at positions 524 to 773 of the family's 1533-position model. The record is from RNAcentral.
UACGGAGGGUGCAAGCGUUAUCCGGAUUCACUGGGUUUAAAGGGUGCGUAGGCGGGUUGAUAAGUCCGUGGUGAAAUCUCCGAGCUUAACUCGGAAACUGCCGUGGAUACUAUUAGUCUUGAAUAUCGUGGAGGUAAGCGGAAUAUGUCAUGUAGCGGUGAAAUGCUUAGAGAUGACAUGGAACACCAAUUGCGUAGGCAGCUUACUACACGAUCAUUGACGCUGAGGCACGAAAGCGUGGGGAGCAAAC